GUCUACGGCCAUACCACCCUGAACGCGCCCGAUCUCGUCUGAUCUCGAAUGAUAUACAGACCUGAUCAGACAGGAUCCAUGACCUCAAGGAGCUUACAUA
RNAcentral lists this ribosomal RNA (100 nucleotides) under Dipodomys ordii (Ord's kangaroo rat). Lineage: Eukaryota; Metazoa; Chordata; Mammalia; Rodentia; Heteromyidae. The record is from RNAcentral.